GGUUGAUCCUGCCAGAGGCGACCGCUAUUGGAGUUCGAUUAAGCCAUGCGAGUAGAAAGAAAAUAGAUUCUUUGCAUACUGCUCAGUAACACGUGGAUAACCUGCCCUACACUGGGGGAUAAUCUCGGGAAACUGAGGAUAAUACCCCAUAGACCACUACGCCUGGAACGGUGAGUGGUUGAAAGCUCAGGCGGUGUAGGAUGGGUCUGCGGCGUAUCAGGUCGUAGGGGGUGUAAUGGACCUCCUAGCCAUCGACGCGUACGGGUUGUGGGAGCAAUAGCCCGGAGACGGAUUCUGAGACACGAAUCCGGACCCUACGGGGUGCAGCAGGCGCGAAAACUUCACACUGCAGGAAACUGUGAUGAGGGAACUCCAAGUGACUGCACAUUGUGUAGCCUUUUCUUGAAUUUUAAUAGUUCUUGGAAUAAGGGCUGGGAAAGACCGGUGCCAGCCGCCGCGGUAAUACCGGCAGCUCGAGUGGUCGUCGCUUUUAUUGGGCCUAAAA
This 505-nucleotide ribosomal RNA is filed under the name uncultured Candidatus Poseidoniales archaeon. RNAcentral's name for it is "bacterial SSU rRNA". It matches the Rfam family "Archaeal small subunit ribosomal RNA", at positions 6 to 515 of the family's 1478-position model. Lineage: Archaea; Methanobacteriati; Thermoplasmatota; Candidatus Poseidoniia; Candidatus Poseidoniales. The record is from RNAcentral.